CGGCAUGCGUGGGUUGGACGACCGUAUGACUUGUUUGGUCGGACCCAGGAGCGGUAGGGCUUGGCGUCACCAUGGUACCGUCCGUGCGUGUGUGGGUCGCCAGGAACUCGGCAUGAGACACUUCCGACUAGGUAGGUAGCGGAGUCCGCUGAGAACCAUCCGCCGGACCCUGACCACUCUCGCCACUACCAGAGCGUACACCUUUAGGUUUAUUAGCAGCAAGCCCACCUGCAGGUAUUGGCGGCUGACUCGACGUCCCAGUUGCCCGAGGCGCCUUGUCCCAGUUGAUGACGCCAUUUGAAUCCAACAUCUUAAAGUUGGCCGCGGCACCAGCCUUCGCCGCCUUUGUCAAAGCACGCUUGAAGUCCUGCAACUGUUUGAAGGCUGCCACGGCAGCGGCACCAGCCUGGCCCCUCUCGGCUUCCAGCCGGGCAACCUCGUCUUCCAACCGCUUCACCUCAGUGGCUUUGGCGGUGACAUCGCGUUGAAGAAUCUCUGCACGCUUACUCAUGGCCCCCACCUGCUCCUACAACAGAGCCAUAUCUUGCUUCAACUGUGCCACGCGGUCGUUCCGCUCCACAUCCUUGUCGACGACGACGUCUAACUUACCCCGAACAUCUAUCAAGUUGCACUCCGCCUUGGAUAGGAGGCGCUCGGUGUCCGCCAGCUUGUUGGAUGCCUCCCCCAACUCUCGUCGGAGACCUUCAAUUUCCUUCUUCAGCUGCCGCUCAACAGGAGACGACUUUGACGCCGCCAAGAAUAACGCGUGGAGCCCGACGGACAGAUGCCUGAAGGCCGAGCUAAACGGCGACUGCUGCAGGGCCUUCGGGGGCAUCGUCCGGUCCAUCCCGCCAAACCCGAGUCGCUCGCAGAGGUGGAAAAGAAACUCCAGCUAGGGGUUAGUUAGGAACUCGGCGUAUGAGGUAAACGAGUCUAGCCCGCUCGUCGGCACUUCCCGGCGGUGGCCAUAGUCACCUUCUGCGAGGCCUGCUUCACCCUCUUCUGUUGGCGGGGCCUGAUCGUCACCGAGUCAUCUGCCUCAUCACCUUCCUUGGCAUCGUUUUGCCGCCGUUUCUUUUGUAGAGGCCCUUGGGUGGCACCCGUAGUGGUAAGCCUCGGAGGCUCCUGUGGUUCCAACCCCGCGAUGGCAACGGGCUCCUUCAGUGGCACUAUCCUCUCCUGCUGGGGCCCACGUCGCUGGGCGAGCGCCCUUUCCCUGUCCUUCUCGGGAGCAGCGCCGGACUUACUCCUCCAACAGUCCCACGCUCCACGAGAGACUUGGGUAGUACGACGGCUUGCCCAGCGGCAGCAAGGUGAGAGUGAUGCGGCAUCAGUAUCACAACUUCCGUCUCUGAUCGGCUUAGCGCCUGAGACUAUGGGUCAACG
Molecule: long non-coding RNA, 1386 nt
Filed under: Rosa chinensis
Lineage: Eukaryota; Viridiplantae; Streptophyta; Magnoliopsida; Rosales; Rosaceae
Description: sRNA RchiOBHm_Chr2g0084211
Source: RNAcentral